Non-coding RNA from Ictidomys tridecemlineatus (thirteen-lined ground squirrel), 72 nucleotides. The record is from Rfam. Lineage: Eukaryota; Metazoa; Chordata; Mammalia; Rodentia; Sciuridae.
UUGUGUGUGGCUCAGUGGUAGAGUGCUUGCCUAGCGUGCACGAGGCGCUGGGUUUGAUCCUCAGCACCAAAU